This 500-nucleotide ribosomal RNA is filed under the name uncultured bacterium. RNAcentral's name for it is "partial 16S ribosomal RNA". It matches the Rfam family "Bacterial small subunit ribosomal RNA", at positions 30 to 523 of the family's 1533-position model. The record is from RNAcentral.
AUUGAACGCUGACGGCAGGCUUAACACAUGCAAGUCGAGCGGAGAUGAGGUGCUUGCACCUUAUCUUAGCGGCGGACGGGUGAGUAAUGCUUAGGAAUCUGCCUAUUAGUGGGGGACAACAUUCCGAAAGGAAUGCUAAUACCGCAUACGUCCUACGGGAGAAAGCAGGGGAUCUUCGGACCUUGCGCUAAUAGAUGAGCCUAAGUCGGAUUAGCUAGUUGGUGGGGUAAAGGCCUACCAAGGCGACGAUCUGUAGCGGGUCUGAGAGGAUGAUCCGCCACACUGGGACUGAGACACGGCCCAGACUCCUACGGGAGGCAGCAGUGGGGAAUAUUGGACAAUGGGGGAACCCUGAUCCAGCCAUGCCGCGUGUGUGAAGAAGGCCUUAUGGUUGUAAAGCACUUUAAGCGAGGAGGAGGCUACUGAGACUAAUACUCUUGGAUAGUGGACGUUACUCGCAGAAUAAGCACCGGCUAACUCUGUGCCAGCCGCCGCGGUAA